This 709-nucleotide ribosomal RNA is filed under the name uncultured bacterium. RNAcentral describes it as "bacterial SSU rRNA". It matches the Rfam family "Bacterial small subunit ribosomal RNA", at positions 60 to 780 of the family's 1533-position model. The record is from RNAcentral.
AGUCGAACGGUGAAAGAAGAGCUUGCUCUUCUGGAUCAGUGGCGAACGGGUGAGUAACACGUGAGUAACCUGCCCCAGACUCUGGGAUAAGCACUGGAAACGGUGUCUAAUACCGGAUACGAGCUUCAGCCGCAUGGCUAGGAGCUGGAAAGAAUUUCGGUCUGGGAUGGACUCGCGGCCUAUCAGCUAGUUGGUGAGGUAAUGGCCCACCAAGGCGACGACGGGUAGCCGGCCUGAGAGGGUGACCGGCCACACUGGGACUGAGACACGGCCCAGACUCCUACGGGAGGCAGCAGUGGGGAAUAUUGCACAAUGGGCGCAAGCCUGAUGCAGCAACGCCGCGUGAGGGACGACGGCCUUCGGGUUGUAAACCUCUUUUAGUAGGGAAGAAGCGAAAGUGACGGUACCUGCAGAAAAAGCACCGGCUAACUACGUGCCAGCAGCCGCGGUAAUACGUAGGGUGCAAGCGUUAUCCGGAAUUAUUGGGCGUAAAGAGCUCGUAGGCGGUUUGUCGCGUCUGCUGUGAAAACUGGAGGCUCAACCUCCAGCCUGCAGUGGGUACGGGCAGACUAGAGUGCGGUAGGGGAGAUUGGAAUUCCUGGUGUAGCGGUGGAAUGCGCAGAUAUCAGGAGGAACACCGAUGGCGAAGGCAGAUCUCUGGGCCGUAACUGACGCUGAGGAGCGAAAGCAUGGGGAGCGAACAGGAUUA